Molecule: ribosomal RNA, 774 nt
Filed under: uncultured Neocallimastigales
Lineage: Eukaryota; Fungi; Neocallimastigomycota; Neocallimastigomycetes; Neocallimastigales
Description: partial large subunit ribosomal RNA
Rfam family: Eukaryotic large subunit ribosomal RNA
Source: RNAcentral
UAUGUGAUCGUCUCUCGCAUAUCAAUAAGCGGAGGAAAAGAAACUAACAAGGAUUCCCCUAGUAACGGCGAGUGAAGCGGGAAGAGCUCAAAUUUGAAAUCUUAAAGGGUUUCCCUUUACGAAUUGUAGUUUAAUGAAGUGUUUUCUGUUGAGGUUUUGGUAAAAGUUCUUUGGAAUAGGACAUCAUAGAGGGUGAGAAUCCCGUAUUUGACCUUUACUUUCAACUUUGUGAUACACUUUCAAAGAGUCGGAUUGUUUGGGAAUGCAGUCCAAAAUGGGUGGUAAAUUUCAUCUAAAGCUAAAUAUUGGCGAGAGACCGAUAGCGAACAAGUACCGUGAGGGAAAGAUGAAAAGAACUUUGAAAAGAGAGUUAAACAGUACGUGAAAUUGUCAAAAGGGAAGCGUUUGACACCAGUGUUGUUUUUCUGAAAAUCAAUUAAAGAACUGUUUAUGCUAAGCUGUUUAGACUUUAUCAGCUAACUGUUUAGUUUUGAGCUUUUCUUUAAUGCACUUUUCAGUUAACAAGUCAACAUCAAUUUCUUUUGCUGUAAAAAAGCUUGAGGAAGGUGGCUUGAGAUUCGUCUUAAGUGUUUAUAGCCUCUUGCCUAUGCAGUCGGAGAGAUUGAGGUCUGCAGCGUAGAUCCUUCGGGGCUAAAUGCAUUUGUGCUAAGUUAUAGCAUUUUAUAGACAACUUGUUGACUAUGAUUUGUCUUGUAGCUUACUCGCUUAUGUUAUUUUACCUACGCUUAGGAUGUUGAGUAGCGACAUACGCAC